GUGCUCGCUUUGGCAGCACAUACGCUAAAAUUGGAACAAUACAGAGAUCAACAUGGCCCCUGCGCAAGGAUGACACACAAAUUUGUGAAGUGUUCCAUAUUUUU
Octodon degus (degu) is the source of this 104-nucleotide small nuclear RNA. NCBI's taxonomy places the organism in Eukaryota, Metazoa, Chordata, Mammalia, Rodentia, Octodontidae. The record is from Ensembl.